RNAcentral lists this ribosomal RNA (371 nucleotides) under uncultured organism. Its description in RNAcentral is "partial 16S ribosomal RNA". It matches the Rfam family "Bacterial small subunit ribosomal RNA", at positions 526 to 896 of the family's 1533-position model. The record is from RNAcentral.
GGAGGGGUGCAAGCGUUAAUCGGAAUUACUGGGCGUAAAGCGCACGCAGGCGGUUUGUUAAGUCAGAUGUGAAAUCCCCGGGCUCAACCUGGGAACUGCAUCUGAUACUGGCAAGCUUGAGUCUCGUAGAGGGGGGUAGAAUUCCAGGUGUAGCGGUGAAAUGCGUAGAGAUCUGGAGGAAUACCGGUGGCGAAGGCGGCCCCCUGGACGAAGACUGACGCUCAGGUGCGAAAGCGUGGGGAGCAAACAGGAUUAGAUACCCUGGUAGUCCACGCCGUAAACGAUGUCGACUUGGAGGUUGUGCCCUUGAGGCGUGGCUUCCGGAGCUAACGCGUUAAGUCGACCGCCUGGGGAGUACGGCCGCAAAGUUA